RNAcentral lists this transfer RNA (73 nucleotides) under Cordylochernes scorpioides. Its description in RNAcentral is "tRNA-Thr". Lineage: Eukaryota; Metazoa; Arthropoda; Arachnida; Pseudoscorpiones; Chernetidae. The record is from RNAcentral.
GUCCAGGGGCGGGAAUCGAACCCACAACGUUCCGCUUACCGGGAAGAUGCCAUGUCCACUAGGCUACCCUGGA